RNAcentral lists this ribosomal RNA (492 nucleotides) under uncultured bacterium. RNAcentral describes it as "partial 16S ribosomal RNA". It matches the Rfam family "Bacterial small subunit ribosomal RNA", at positions 29 to 507 of the family's 1533-position model. The record is from RNAcentral.
AGUGAACGCUGGCGGUAGGCCUAACACAUGCAAGUCGAACGGCAGCACAGUAAGAGCUUGCUCUUACGGGUGGCGAGUGGCGGACGGGUGAGGAAUACAUCGGAAUCUACUUUUUCGUGGGGGAUAACGUAGGGAAACUUACGCUAAUACCGCAUACGGCCUACGGGUGAAAGCAGGGGAUCUUCGGACCUUGCGCGAUUGAAUGAGCCGAUGUCGGAUUAGCUAGUUGGCGGGGUAAAGGCCCACCAAGGCGACGAUCCGUAGCUGGUCUGAGAGGAUGAUCAGCCACACUGGAACUGAGACACGGUCCAGUCUCCUACGGGAGGCAGCAGUGGGGAAUAUUGGACAAUGGGCGCAAGCCUGAUCCAGCCAUACCGCGUGGGUGAAGAAGGCCUUCGGGUUGUAAAGCCCUUUUGUUGGGAAAGAAAAGCAGCAGGUUAAUACCCCGCUGUUCUGACGGUACCCAAAGAAUAAGCACCGGCUAACUUCCUG